RNAcentral lists this ribosomal RNA (402 nucleotides) under uncultured bacterium. Its description in RNAcentral is "bacterial SSU rRNA". It matches the Rfam family "Bacterial small subunit ribosomal RNA", at positions 32 to 424 of the family's 1533-position model. The record is from RNAcentral.
AAUCAACGCUGGCGGCGUGCCUCAGACAUGCAAGUCGAACGAUUAAAGCUCUCUUCGGAGAGUGUAUAGAGUGGCGCACGGGUGAGUAACACGUAAGUAAUCUACCUUUGAGUGGGGAAUAACCCGGGGAAACCCGAGCUAAUACCGCAUAAUGCAGCGGCAUCGCAAGAUGACAGUUGUUAAAGGAGCAAUCCGCUUAAAGAGGAGCUUGCGGCAGAUUAGCUAGUUGGUAAGGUAAUGGCUUACCAAGGCUACGAUCUGUAUCCGGUCUAAGAGGACGGUCGGACACACUGACACUGAAUAACGGGUCAGACUCCUACGGGAGGCAGCAGUCGGGAAUUUUGGGCAAUGGGCGAAAGCCUGACCCAGCAACGCCGCGUGAGGGAGGAAAUCCUUCGGGAU